UAGUGCGUUUCAGUUUUUUGAAAAAAAUUCAGAAAAAUUAGGGAUAGCCUGUAGGCACAUUGUAAAGUCGACUUCAAACCCCAAAACAAGUAAGGACCCCUCACCCUAUUUCCUAUCACGGUAUUAAAGCUAAAUAAAUAAUUAAACUGUACUGUGUGACUUUAUAGAUGUAUAAUUGAUUGAGGUUGCCAAUGGAGCCCGAGUCUGAAAUAGUGUUGGUCUGUUAUUGUUUGAUCUAAUUUCUAGUAUUAAAUGUAGCAUUAUAUUUGAUGUAAU
RNAcentral lists this long non-coding RNA (276 nucleotides) under Carica papaya (papaya). RNAcentral's name for it is "long non-coding RNA (CPAP_LNC002780)". The record is from RNAcentral. Lineage: Eukaryota; Viridiplantae; Streptophyta; Magnoliopsida; Brassicales; Caricaceae.